GACGAGCACUGCCCUACUCUCGGAACAAUUUCCAGUUUGCUGCACUCUGAUAUAUCUAGAUUUCGAAGAAAGGAAAAUCCUUCCAAAUCUGGAAUGGAACUUAAAUUAGCACAGCCACUUAGCUUUAAUUCUUUAAGACAACUGGAGGUCGACAACCCGUCUCCUAUCUUGCUUAAGUUUUGACACGAGGAAAUGUGAAGCUUUUCAAGAGAUGAACAUCUUCCUCUUAUUGGAACAAUUUCCAGUUUGCUGCACUCUGAUAUAUCUAGAUUUCGAAGAAAGGAAAAUCCUUCCAAAUCUGGAAUAGAACUUAAAUUAGGACAAUCACUUAACUUCAAUUCUUCAAGAUUAGUGGAGGUCGACAACCCAUCUCCAAUCUUGCUUAGUUUUCGACACGAGGAAAUGUGAAGCUUUUGAAGAGAUGAACAUCUUCCUCUUAUUGGAACAAUUUCCAGUUUGCUGCACUCUGAUAUAUCUAGAUUUCGAAGAAAGGAAAAUCCUUCCA
This 505-nucleotide long non-coding RNA is filed under the name Gossypium raimondii (Peruvian cotton). RNAcentral describes it as "long non-coding RNA (GRAI_LNC003349)". The record is from RNAcentral. Lineage: Eukaryota; Viridiplantae; Streptophyta; Magnoliopsida; Malvales; Malvaceae.